This 401-nucleotide ribosomal RNA is filed under the name uncultured bacterium. Its description in RNAcentral is "bacterial SSU rRNA". It matches the Rfam family "Bacterial small subunit ribosomal RNA", at positions 28 to 428 of the family's 1533-position model. The record is from RNAcentral.
GAUGAACGCUAGCGGCAGGCCUAACACAUGCAAGUCGAACGGUAACAUGAGCGCUUGCGCUUGAUGACGAGUGGCGCACGGGUGCGUAACGCGUAUGCGACCUACCUCUAACUGGGGGAUAGCCCGGAGAAAUUCGGAUUAAUACCCCAUAGUAUAAUGGAACUGCAUGGUUUUAUUAUUAAAGAUUUAUCGGUUAGAGAUGGGCAUGCGUCCCAUUAGCUAGUUGGUGCGGUAACGGCGCACCAAGGCGACGAUGGGUAGGGGCCUGAGAGGGUGGUCCCCCACACUGGUACUGAGACACGGACCAGACUCCUACGGGAGCAGCAGUGAGGAAUAUUGGUCAAUGGACGCAAGUCUGAACCAGCCAUGCCGCGUGCAGGAUGACGGCCCUACGGGUUUAA